This 29-nucleotide non-coding RNA is filed under the name Rattus norvegicus (Norway rat). The record is from RNAcentral. Lineage: Eukaryota; Metazoa; Chordata; Mammalia; Rodentia; Muridae.
CACACUUUCUUCCUCACUACCCACUAGCC